AGAGUUUGAUCCUGGCUCAGGAUGAACGCUGGCGGCGUGCUUAACACAUGCAAGUCGAACGGACCCAUAUUGAAACCUAGUGAUAUAUGGGUUAGUGGCGGACGGGUGAGUAACGCGUGGGCAACCUGCCUUACACAGGGGAUAACACUUAGAAAUAGGUGCUAAAACCGCAUAAGCGCACGGCUUCGCAUGAAGCGGUGUGAAAAACUCCGGUGGUGUAAGAUGGACCCGCGUCUGAUUAGCUUGUUGGCGGGGUAACGGGCCCGACCCAAGGCGACGAUCAGUAGCCGGCCUCGAGAGGGCGGACGGCCACAUUGGGACUGAGACACGGCCCAGACUCCUACGGGAGGCAGCAGUGGGGAAUAUUGCACAAUGGGGGAAACCCUGAUGCAGCGACGCCGCGUGAGUGAAGAAGUAAUUCGUUACGUAAAGCUCUAUCAGCAGGGAAGAAAAUGACGGUACCUGAGUAAGAAGCCCCGGCUAACUACGUG
This 491-nucleotide ribosomal RNA is filed under the name uncultured Lachnospiraceae bacterium. RNAcentral describes it as "bacterial SSU rRNA". It matches the Rfam family "Bacterial small subunit ribosomal RNA", at positions 8 to 507 of the family's 1533-position model. Lineage: Bacteria; Bacillati; Bacillota; Clostridia; Lachnospirales; Lachnospiraceae. The record is from RNAcentral.